GAUGAAGAACGUAGCGAAAUGCGAUAAGUAAUGUGAAUUGCAGAAUUCAGUGAAUCAUCGAAUCUUUGAACGCACAUUGCGCCCGCCAGUAUUCUGGCGGGCAUGCCUGUCUGAGCGUCAUUUCAACCCUCAUGACCCUAGGGCGUGGUGUUGGGGAUCGGCCAAAGCCCGCGAGGGACGGCCGGCCCCUAAAUCUAGUGGCGGACCCGUCGUGGCCUCCUCUGCGAAGUAGUGAUAUUCCGCAUCGGAGAGCGAUGAGCCCCUGCCGUUAAACCCCCAACUUUCCAAGGUUGACCUCAGAUCAGGUAGGAAUACCCGCUGAACUUAAGCAUAUCAAUAAGCGGAGGA
RNAcentral lists this unclassified non-coding RNA (348 nucleotides) under soil metagenome. RNAcentral describes it as "partial contains 5.8S ribosomal RNA, internal transcribed spacer 2, and large subunit ribosomal RNA". The stretch from base 1 to 120 matches the Rfam family "5.8S ribosomal RNA", at positions 35 to 154 of the family's 154-position model. The record is from RNAcentral.